This 235-nucleotide ribosomal RNA is filed under the name uncultured bacterium. Its description in RNAcentral is "partial 16S ribosomal RNA". It matches the Rfam family "Bacterial small subunit ribosomal RNA", at positions 99 to 334 of the family's 1533-position model. The record is from RNAcentral.
CGGACGGGUGAGUAACGCGUGGGUAACCUGCCUCAUACAGGGGGAUAACAGUUAGAAAUGACUGCUAAUACCGCAUAAGACCACAGCACCGCAUGGUGCAGGGGUAAAGACUCCGGUGGUAUGAGAUGGACCCGCGUCUGAUUAGGUAGUUGGUGGGGUAACGGCCUACCAAGCCGACGAUCAGUAGCCGACCUGAGAGGGUGACCGGCCACAUUGGGACUGAGACACGGCCCAA